GAUCACUUUGGCAAUCUGUACACAUUGCUGUGUAACAAUUUGUAUACGUUGGCACAGUGCUAUCAAAGCUGCAUGCAAGUGUUUUUUGAAAGGAUACAACAUGGGAUGUGAUAUUCAUGUGUGUGUGCCUGCUUUGCCCACAGCCUGUGCUGUAUGAAUCACAUUUCUUGCAACUGAAAUGCUAAUGGCAUGGUAAAGUUCAUGUGACAUGACACAAGCUUGAGAUUCAUGAUGUGCAAGUACCAUGAGGGAAAUGUGAAAAGGACUUUGAAAAGAGAAUUAAAUAAAGCCUGCAUUUGCUGACAAUGAAAGCAAGUGUGGAUGUUCAUGUAAUUGUUACUGCAUCAAUCAAUGUUCAUCUUGGUUACUGCAUGCUUUAUAUUACAGCUCAAAACAUGAAGUGUGUGUAACAGCUCUGCUUUGAUUUUUCCCACAUGGGAUCAGUUGAAACAUUGUGAGAGCACUCUUCAGUUUCCUUAUGUACCCACCAGCUUUGUCCACUCGCGUGCUGGCACA
Molecule: ribosomal RNA, 516 nt
Filed under: Ostreopsis cf. ovata MGP-2015
Lineage: Eukaryota; Dinophyceae; Peridiniales; Ostreopsidaceae
Description: LSU rRNA
Rfam family: Eukaryotic large subunit ribosomal RNA
Source: RNAcentral